UACCUGGUUGAUCCUGCCAGUAGUUAUAUGCUUGUCUAAAAGCUUAAGCCAUGCAUGUCUAUGUUCAGCUCCUUUGAGGGGUGAAACCGCGAAUGGCUCAUUAUAUAAGUUGUGGCAUAUUGGUCAGAGCGUUUUUACUUGGAUAACUGUGGGAAUUCUAGAGCUAAUACAUGCAUUCAGGCUUUGACUCCUGGCAACGGGAGGAGGAGCGCUUUUAUUAGAUCGAAGCCAACCUGGGUGUACGCUUGUCGUGCAUUCCGGUCUGCAGGCUUGUUUUGCGGGCUUGAUGACUCUGGAAAACUACAGGCCAAUUGAAUCUCGUUCUGAGGUCUAUGUGACCAUAUGGCAACUUAUCGAUCAGCUUGAUUGAUGUGUAUUGGACAACAAUGGCUGUUACCGAUAACGGGGAAUCAGGGUUCGAUUCCGGAGAGGGAGCCUGAGAGACGGCUACCACAUCCAAGGAAGGCAGCAGGCGCGCAAAUUACCCACUCCUGGUUCAGGGAGGUAGUGACGAGAAAUACCGGGAAGGGACAUUGUUGUCCCCGCUCCCGGAAUGAGACGAUUUUAAACCUCUUUACGAGGACCCAUUGGAGGGCAAGUCUGGUGCCAGCAGCCGCGGUAACUCCAGCUCCAAUAGCGUAUAUUAAUAUUGCUGCGGUUAAAAAGCUCGUAGUUGGAUUUGAGCUCCGGCCGGUGUCAGCAGGGUCGUGGUACGGUCUCUGUCUGUGCCGGUGCCGGGCUUCUGGUUGUCGGGUGGCCGGCCGGGACGGCGGCUGUUGGCUCUUGGGGUGACCCUUGGGCUGUGGCUGCUGGCCUGGUGGCAAGGCGCUCGGUUGAGUUUACUUUGAGAAAAGGAGAGUGCUUAAGGCAGGCUUGUUAUGUCUGUGGAUCUCGGUGCAUGGAAUAAUGGAACAGGGCCUCGCGCCUGUGUUUGUUAGUUUCGGGGUGCCCCGAGGCAAUGAUUAAGAGGGACGGUUCGGGGGCAUUCGUACUGUAGGGGGAGAGGUGAAAUUCUUGGAUCCCUGCAAUACGAACAACUGCGAAACGAUUUGCCAAGGACGUCCUUAUUAAUCAAGAACGAAAGUUAGAGGUUCGAAGGCGAUCAGAUACCGCCCUAGUUCUGACUGUAAACGAUGCCAACUGACAAUCGGCCCCUGGUCGCGAGUAAGACGGGGUUGGCAGCCUCCGGGAAACCAAAGUUUUUGGGUUCCGGGGGGAGUAUGGUUGCAAAGCUGAAACUUAAAGGAAUUGACGGAAGGGCACCACAAGGAGUGGAGCCUGCGGCUUAAUUUGACUCAACACGGGAAACCUCACCAGGCCCGGACACUGGUAGGAUUGACAGAUCUUUCCCCAUGAAGCUCUUUCUCGAUUCAGUGGGUGGUGGUGCAUGGCCGUUCGUGGUUGGUGGAGCGAUCUGUCUGGUUCAUUCCGAUAACGAACGAGAUUCUGUCCUGCUAACUAGGUGAUUACUCUGUGCUCGUUGCAGCGUUUAUCAGUGCUUCUUAGAGGGACGGGCGGCGCUUGAUAAGCCGCACGAAGUCAGAGCAAUAACAGGUCUGUGAUGCCCUUCGAUGCCCUGGGCCGCACGCGCGCUACACUGAAAGAGACAACGCGCUCCCUUCCCUCGUGGAGGGCUAGGCCGUUUGUCGGUGCGUUCCCGGUUCGAAAGGAUCGGGCAAUCGCUGAAUCUCUUGUGGUAUGUAUGUGCCUUUCGUGGUUGGAAUUGUGGCUUGAAAUUGUGCCUCAUGAACCAGGAAUUCCCAGUAAGCGCGAGUCAGUAGCUUGUGUUGAUAACGUCCCCUGCCCUUUGUACACACCGCCCGUCGCUACUACCGAUCGAGUGAUGUAGUGAGGCUUUUGGACCGUUCAGGAACGAGGCUGCGGUGCUCGCUCGCGGGCGCUGUGGCCUGUAUUUCCCCGGGAAGAUGGCCGAACUGGAUCGCUCAGAGGAAGUAAAAGUCGUAACAAGGUUUCCGUAGGUGAACCUGCGGAAGGAUCAUUA
Molecule: non-coding RNA, 2002 nt
Organism: Eosentomon sp. FNSA-2002
Lineage: Eukaryota; Metazoa; Arthropoda; Protura; Eosentomata; Eosentomidae
Source: Rfam